AACGAACGCUGGCGGCAUGCCUAACACAUGCAAGUCGAACGGCAGCACGGGAGCAAUCCUGGUGGCGGGUGGCGAACGGGUGAGUAAUACAUCGGAACGUGCCCAAUCGUGGGGGAUAACGCAGCGAAAGCUGUGCUAAUACCGCAUACGAUCUACGGAUGAAAGCAGGGGAUCGCAAGACCUUGCGCGAAUGGAGCGGCCGAUGGCAGAUUAGGUAGUUGGCGAGGUAAAGGCUCACCAAGCCGUCGAUCUGUAGCUGGUCUGAGAGGACGACCAGCCACACUGGGACUGAGACACGGCCCAGACUCCUACGGGAGGCAGCAGUGGGGAAUUUUGGACAAUGGGCGAAAGCCUGAUCCAGCCAUGCCGCGUGCAGGAUGAAGGCCUUCGGGUUGUAAACUGCUUUUGUACGGAACGAAACGGCCUUUUCUAAUAAAGAGGGCUAAUGACGGUACCGUAAGAAUAAGCACCGGCUAACUACGUGCCAGCAGCCACGGUAAUACGUAGGGUGCAAGCGUUAAUCGGAAUUACUGGGCGUAAAGCGUGCGCAGGCGGUUAUGUAAGACAGUUGUGAAAUCCCCGGGCUCAACCUGGGAACUGCAUCUGUGACUGCAUAGCUAGAGUACGGUAGAGGGGGAUGGAAUUCCGCGUGUAGCAGUGAAAUGCGUAGAUAUGCGGAGGAACACCGAUGGCGAAGGCAAUCCCCUGGACCUGUACUGACGCUCAUGCACGAAAGCGUGGGGAGCAAACAGG
Molecule: ribosomal RNA, 753 nt
Filed under: uncultured Comamonadaceae bacterium
Lineage: Bacteria; Pseudomonadati; Pseudomonadota; Betaproteobacteria; Burkholderiales; Comamonadaceae
Description: bacterial SSU rRNA
Rfam family: Bacterial small subunit ribosomal RNA
Source: RNAcentral